AUAAUGCUGAACUCCACUUUGCUCUAGCAAAUUCUUAAAUUCCUCAGAAAAAUCAAGAGGAAAACAGUCUUUGGAGAAAGCCAGCCAGUGUCCUUCACGGUGGAUCCACAUCAGACCUUGGCAGUGGAUGCUACACUUUGUAAACACAUUUGUGUGUGUUUUUUUUGUUUGUUUGUUUGUUUUUUGUUUUCCUUUCGAUAUUUUGGCACAUUUCUUUCCCAUAUAUUCCUUGAUAAAACAAAGCUGCUGGAUUGAUCCAUGCAGCUGUGCCUGAAGCAAGGGGUGCAGGACACAGUCCCAAGUGGCACAACCCAGGGUACACUAAACCUUCCCCAAACAUGAAUGUUUCUGCUUAGGUGGUAGCCGAGCUGUCAUCUCACGAGCUGGACUGUGGCUACCAGCAACGCGAGGCUGCUUGAAUCUGGUCCUCAUUUCUUCUUUGCAAGACCUUGAUGACCACAAGAGUGAAAAAUAAAAGAACCUUAAAUCUAUUUGGGGAUGGAGAAAGGGGGGAAGUUUUUCUUCACUGCGGACUCAGACUGGAUGGAUGCCAAACCACAUUUCAGAGGGGUGAGAAAGACCCAACAUCUGCUUCUGGUGUAACUGUUUGUAUCUUCACUCUAGGAAAAUUAGGUUUGAAAUAAUCUCAAAUUGUCUGACACCUGUAUCCUAUUAGAAGUGACACAUGGAAACACCUUCAGCAUACUGAAUUUAGCACCAUGUCAACAGUUUAAAGUUAACCGGAAAAAUUGGUAAAAAUCAUUGCUUCCCAGUUUCUGCUGAAACAGAUCUGGUGUCUUUUCACAGGAUCAUACUGCAAGCUUGAUCCAUGAAUGUAAUGGGCUUUGAGCCCAUAAUUACAACAUGGCUUGUGUCCCUGGCUGUGGCUUGAAUUAAAUUCAGCGUGCACCUCAGGGUGACUGGUGCACUGCAUUUUGAGCCAAGGCUCGCUGGAGGCACACCUAAGGGCUGGGUGCCAGCCAGCAGCCAGGACAUGGGUAUGCAGUGGUUGCAAGGACAGUUUCUCUGAAGUUCGGCUAUGAAUCUGAAGUUUAGCAACUUAAAGAUAUUAGAAUAGUAAGCAGGUUGUAUCUUAUUUGUCUCAAGAAAGGGAGUUGUAUUCCUGCUACAGAACAUAAAUUCUGCCAUGGCAUAAAGGUUCGCUUGUGUUUGGACACCAAUAAAAUCCAAAAGACUUCAGGAUUCA
RNAcentral lists this long non-coding RNA (1207 nucleotides) under Anser brachyrhynchus (Pink-footed goose). Its description in RNAcentral is "lncRNA (ENSABRG00000015863.1)". Lineage: Eukaryota; Metazoa; Chordata; Aves; Anseriformes; Anatidae. The record is from RNAcentral.